GACGAACGCUGGCGGCGUGCUUAACACAUGCCAGUCGAACGGAAAGGCCCUGCUUUUGUGGGUUUCUCGAUUGGCGCACGGGUGAGUAACACGCGAGUAACCUCUCCUUGUCUUUGUGAUAUCUCCUGGGAAAUGGGGCUAUUACAGGAUAGAAGCUCUUGCUGCAUGGUGGUGGUUGGUAAGUUUCGGCGGUGGGGGAUGGACUCGCGGCUUAUCCGCUUGUUGGUGGGGUAGUGGCUUACAAAGGUUUUGACGGGUAGCCGGCCUCAGAGGGUGACCGGCCACAUUGGGACUGAGAUAGGGCGCAGACUCCUACGGGAGGCAGCAGUGGGGAAUAUUGCACAAUAGGCGGAAGCCUGAUGCAGAAACGCCGCGUGCGGGAUGACGGCCUUCGGGUUGUAAACCGCUUUCGCCGGUAACGAAGCGUGAGUGACGGUAAUGGGUAAAGAAGCACCGGCUAACUACGUG
RNAcentral lists this ribosomal RNA (468 nucleotides) under uncultured bacterium. RNAcentral's name for it is "partial 16S ribosomal RNA". It matches the Rfam family "Bacterial small subunit ribosomal RNA", at positions 28 to 507 of the family's 1533-position model. The record is from RNAcentral.